CACCGGCGGCUCGAGUGGUAACCGCUAUUAUUGGGUCUAAAGGGUCUGUAGCCGGCCGACUAAGUCUCUUGGGAAAUCUGGCAUCUCAAGUGUCAGGCUGCCAGGGGAUACUGGUCGGCUUGGGACCGGGAGAGGUGAGAGGUACCUCGGGGGUAGGGGUGAAAUCUUGUAAUCCUCGAGGGACCACCAGUGGCGAAGGCGUCUCACCAGAACGGAUCCGACGGCAAGGGACGAAAGCUAGGGGCACGAACCGG
This 254-nucleotide ribosomal RNA is filed under the name uncultured microorganism. RNAcentral's name for it is "partial 16S ribosomal RNA". It matches the Rfam family "Archaeal small subunit ribosomal RNA", at positions 474 to 727 of the family's 1478-position model. The record is from RNAcentral.